This 726-nucleotide ribosomal RNA is filed under the name uncultured fungus. RNAcentral's name for it is "SSU rRNA". It matches the Rfam family "Eukaryotic small subunit ribosomal RNA", at positions 330 to 1060 of the family's 1831-position model. Lineage: Eukaryota; Fungi. The record is from RNAcentral.
AGGAUAGAGGCCUACCAUGGUGGUAACGGGUAACGGGGUGUUAGGGCACGACACCGGAGAGGGAGCCUGAGAAACGGCUACCACAUCCAAGGAUGGCAGCAGGCGCGCAAAUUACCCAAUCCCGACACGGGGAGGUAGUGACAAUAAAUAACAAUACGGGGUUCUUUAGGAUCUCGUAAUUGGAAUGAGUACAAUUUAAAUCUCUUAACGAGGAACAAUUGGAGGGCAAGUCUGGUGCCAGCAGCCGCGGUAAUUCCAGCUCCAAUAGCGUAUAUUAAAGUUGUUGCAGUUAAAAAGCUCGUAGUUGAAUUUCGGGGUUAGUAGGUUGGUCAUGCCUCUGGUAUGUACUGGUCUCACUGAUUCCUCCUUCCUUACGAACCGUAAUGCCAUUAAUUUGGUGUUGCGGGGAAUUUGGACUGUUACUUUGAAAAAAUUAGAGUGUUUAAAGCAAGCUAACGCUUGAAUACAUUAGCAUGGAAUAAUGAAAUAGGACGUUCGAUCUUAUUUUGUUGGUUUCUAGGAUUGACGUAAUGAUUAAUAGGGAUAGUUGGGGGCAUUAGUAUUCAAUUGUCAGAGGUGAAAUUCUUGGAUUUAUUGAAGACUAACUACUGCGAAAGCAUUUGCCAAGGAUGUUUUCAUUAAUCAAGAACGAAAGUUAGGGGAUCGAAGACGAUCAGAUACCGUCGUAGUCUUAACCAUAAACUAUGCCGACUAGGGAUCGGAUGA